CCUACGGGAGGCAGCAGUGGGGGAUAUUGCACAAUGGGGGGAACCCUGAUGCAGCGACGCCGCGUGGGUGAAGAAGCGCCUCGGCGCGUAAAGCCCUGUCAGCAGGGAAGAAAAUGACGGUACCUGAAGAAGUAGCCCCGGCUAACUACGUGCCAGCAGCCGCGGUAAUACGUAGGGGGCAAGCGUUAUCCGGAUUUACUGGGUGUAAAGGGGGCGCAGACGGCGAUGCAAGCCAGGAGUGAAAGCCCGGGGACCAACCCCGGGACUGCUCUUGGAACUGCGUGGCUGGAGUGCAGGAGGGGCAGGCGGAAUUCCUGGUGUAGCGGUGAAAUGCGUAGAUAUCAGGAGGAACACCGGUGGCGAAGGCGGCCUGCUGGACUGCAACUGACGUUGAGGCCCGAAAGCGUGGGGAGCAAACAGGAUUAGAUACCCUGGUAGUC
RNAcentral lists this ribosomal RNA (440 nucleotides) under uncultured bacterium. Its description in RNAcentral is "partial 16S ribosomal RNA". It matches the Rfam family "Bacterial small subunit ribosomal RNA", at positions 338 to 795 of the family's 1533-position model. The record is from RNAcentral.